AUAUGACCUCAGAUCAGACGUGGCAACCUGCUGAAUUUAAGCAUAUUACUAAACAGGGUAAAAUAAACUAACCAGGAUUCCCUCAGUAAUGGCGAGGGAAGAGCCCGGCGCUGAAUCCCCAGCAGGUGCCAUAAAUGUGCCAGCGUCACUCAGGGGGCCCAAGUUCCUUUGAUUGAGGCUCAUCCCCCGGGCAUUGUAGGGCCAUUAACGGCUACCGGCGCACCGGGAUUGGGUCUUUUCGGAGUAGGGUUGCUUGAGAAUGCAGGCCAAAGCGGUUGGUAAACAAUCGAAGGCUAAAUACGGGUGUGAGACAGAUGGCCAACAAGUACUGUAAGGGAAAACUUGAAAAGAACUUUGAAGAGAGAGGCAGGUAAACGGCUGGGGUCCAUGUAGUAAGUCACCCGGAACUGCAGAUCGCCUUGCCAGAACUCUGCCCAGGUGCACCCAGCGCCCGCAGGGUGCAUUUCUUCCAUGUAGGUACACUGCAACCAGCUCCGGUUCAGCUGGAAAGGCCCUGGGGGUCAGGUGGCUCUCUGCUCUAGGGGGGAUGCCCACUAAUGGCGCCAGUGGUCUGUGGUGAUGUCCGUCAUCCACCCGACCCGUCUUGAAACAUGGACCAAGGAGUCUAACACGUGCGCACGUUGGAGGGCCAAACAAAACAUUGUGGUGCAAUGAAGUUGAGGGCUGGUGCGCGCCAGCUGAGGUGGGAUCCUGUCGCCGCCGGCACACGUCUGACCUGUCUUGGCCCGCUCAGUUGGGCAGGUGGCGCAUGAGCGUGGGAGAUAGGACCCGAAGGAUGGAACUAUGCCUAGCCAGGGCGAAGCCACAAGAAACUGAUGGAGGUCAGUAGUGGUCCCGGUGUGCAAACUGGUCAUCCGACCUGGGUAUACGGGUGAAAAAUUCAUCAAACCAUCUAGUAGCUAGUUCCCUCCGAAGGUUCUCUCAGGAUAGCUGGUGCUCGGAAACCCCAGUUUUAUCUGGUAAAGUGAAAAACUCGAGGUCUUGGGGCCGAAACUAUCCCAACCUAUUCUCAAACUUUAAAUGGGUAAGAAGCCUGGCUCACUGGCGUGGAGCAAGGCAUUGAAUGCGAGUGCCCAGUGGGCAGGUUUUGGUAAGCAAAACUGGCACUGCGGAAUGGAACGCAGGGUUAGGGCACCCGAUGCAGACACUCAGACCCCAGAAAACGUGUUGGCUGUUAUAAGCAAGACGGUGGCCAUGAAAGUUGGAAUCCGCUAAGGAGUGUGAAAUAACUCACCUGCCGAAUCAACUGGCCCUCAGCAUUUAUGGCGCUGGAGCAUCGGGCCCAUAUCCGUCCAUCACCGAUGCAGAGAGUCGCGGGAGCUAAGCCGCGAGGAGUAGAAGGGGCGCUGCGGUAUGCAAAGAAGCCCGGGCCAGUGCCUGGUGGAGCCGCUGCAGGUGCAGAUUUUGGUGGUAGUAGUAAAUAUUCAAACAAGAACUCAGAAGGCCGAAGUGCAGAAGGGUUCCAUGUGAACAGCAGUUAAACAUGGGUCAAUCGGUCCUAAGAGAUGGGCGAGUGCCAUUCGGAAGAGAUGGUGGAUGGCCUCCGUUUCCCUCAGCCGAUUGAAAGAGAGUCUGGUUCAGAUCCCCAACCCGGAGUGGCAGAGACUGGCAGCUUCCAGUGCCGUAACAAAAGAUCUCGGAGAAGCCAUACCUAUAUCUGCAGCAAGUCUCCAUGGUGAACAGCCUCUGGCAUGUUCAAAUAAUGUAGAUAAGGUAAGGCAGCAUGCCAGAUCUGUAACUUCGGGAUAAGGAUUGGCUCUAAGGCCUGGGUCGGUCGGCGGAAGUGGGUCUGUGCCACUGCUGGAUUAGGCAUACCCCACCCCCUUCCCACCGCCAGGGCGGUGCCAACUCUGAACGCAAGCCUGGCCCUUCAAAUGGAUCUCCCCAGCUGCGGUCGGCUCUCUGUUACCCUCCUGGUGUUCAGGGCCGGCGUUCUGCCUCGGCCGACACCUAGCAGCUGUCUUAGAACUGGUGCGGAACAGGAGAAUCUGACUGUUUAAUUAAAGCAACGUAUCGCAAAGGCCCACAGUAGGUGUUGACGAGGUACGAUUCUGUCUAGUGCUCUGAAGGUCAGUGAAGAUGAAGAAAUCCAAUGAAGCGCAUGUAAACGGCAGGAGUAAGUGGACUCUCUUAAGGUAGCCAAAUGCCUCACUAUCAAAUUAGUGAUGCGUCUGAAUGGAGGAACGAGAUUCUCACUGUCUCUACCUACUAUCUAGCAAAACCACAGCCAAUGGAAUGGGCUUGGCAGAAUCAAUGGAAAAGAAGACCAUGUUGAGCGUGAUUCUCGUCUGGCACUGUGACGAGACAUGAGGUGUAAAGGAUAAGUGGGAGGACCUCUGGCUGUCUAAUGCCACAUUUUUUCACUUACCCAGCAAGGUGGGGCAGGGGAUGCGAGCCACGUGGGGAUCUCGCUUCUGGCUCCAAGCGCUGCUACGCCCACUGGGCAUGACCAGCUCUGGGGACAGUAGCAGGAGGGAUUUUGACUGGGGCGGUACACGUUAAAACAAUAACUAAGGUGAGCUCAGGGAGGACAGAAGCCUACCACGGAGCAAGGGCAAAAGCUUGCUUGAUCUCGAUUUUCAGUAUGAAUAACAGACUGUGAAAGCGAGAGCCUUACGAUCCUCCUGACUUUUUGGGUUUCAAGCAGGUGGUGUCAGAAAAGUUACUGCGGGGAUAACGGACUGGUGGCGACCAAGCAUUCAUAGCGACGUCACUUUUUGAUCCUUAGAUAUCGGUUCUUCCCAUCAUUGUGAAGCAGAAUUCACCAAGCAUUGGACUGGGUUAACCCACUAAUGGGGAACGUGAGCUGGGCUUAAAUCAUCGUGAGACAGGUUAGUUUUACUGUACUAAUGAUGUGUUGUUGCAAUAGUAAUCCUGCUUAGCAAGAGAGGAACCGCAAUUUGAGACAUUCGGUUUAUGUGCUUUGCUGAGAAGCCAAUGGGGAAUUAUGACUGAACGCCUCAAUUCAGAAUCCCCCCUAAAACGUAACGAUACUGCAGUGCUGUGGAGCCUCUGUCAGCCUAGGAUAGCCGGCCUCUGGGACAGGGCAAAGAGCUGGUUGCCUCAAGUGUGAACAGAAGGAGACCACAUCUCGCCAGUAGUGCACUGC
Molecule: ribosomal RNA, 3130 nt
Filed under: Ambystoma mexicanum (axolotl)
Lineage: Eukaryota; Metazoa; Chordata; Amphibia; Caudata; Ambystomatidae
Description: eukaryotic LSU rRNA
Rfam family: Eukaryotic large subunit ribosomal RNA
Source: RNAcentral